CUUUUGUCCUGAAUGUCAACGCAACUGUUUUUGUUGUUUUCCCUGCUGCAGGCGUCAGUGCAACGUCAGAAGACAUCCCCAACAAGAUCGAGGACCUGCGGUCAGAGUGCAGCUCAGACUUCGGAGGGAAGGACUCUGUGACCAGUCCAGAUGGGGAGGAGUCAGGCCACGGAGCACAUCAUCUGACUUCUCAACCCUCACAGGCCGAUUCCUUAUUGGCCAUGUUUGAUCCUCUCUCCUCCGGUGAAGGCUCCUCCACUGGAACAAUAGUGAGACCCAAAGUGCACUACGCCAGGCCCCCUCACCC
Cottoperca gobio is the source of this 307-nucleotide long non-coding RNA. RefSeq lists it as uncharacterized. The record is from RefSeq and is a predicted model, not a curated record. NCBI's taxonomy places the organism in Eukaryota, Metazoa, Chordata, Actinopteri, Perciformes, Bovichtidae. The transcript has 3 exons.